AUGCAGCUCUGGUCGCUUGAGGGUGCCGAGGAGGCCCUCGGCGACCGGUGCCGGGUGGAUCGGCUCGACUCCCGAACCUACGAGCAAGACCACACGAAGACGUUCGGGUUGUGGGUCUGGGUGUGGGACGUCUCCCACAUCCUGACCAAGCGCGCCCUCUGGUUCAUCAAGCGUGGCGCCGGGAGGACCGAAGAGAUGUACGGCUUCUCCCCCCCAAGCCGUGACGUGGCCCCUCCUCCAUGGGUUCGGCGUCGCGACCUGCUCAUCCACGUCGACCGCGUCGAGGACUGG
RNAcentral lists this ribosomal RNA (291 nucleotides) under Triticum aestivum (bread wheat). RNAcentral's name for it is "partial small subunit ribosomal RNA". Lineage: Eukaryota; Viridiplantae; Streptophyta; Magnoliopsida; Poales; Poaceae. The record is from RNAcentral.